Molecule: ribosomal RNA, 484 nt
Filed under: uncultured bacterium
Lineage: Bacteria
Description: partial 16S ribosomal RNA
Rfam family: Bacterial small subunit ribosomal RNA
Source: RNAcentral
AUUGAACGCUGGCGGCAGGCUUAACACAUGCAAGUCGAGCGGGGAAAGGUAGCUUGCUACCUGACCUAGCGGCGGACGGGUGAGUAAUGCUUAGGAAUCUGCCUAUUAGUGGGGGACAACAUCUCGAAAGGGAUGCUAAUACCGCAUACGUCCUACGGGAGAAAGCAGGGGACCUUCGGGCCUUGCGCUAAUAGAUGAGCCUAAGUCGGAUUAGCUAGUUGGUGGGGUAAAGGCCUACCAAGGCGACGAUCUGUAGCGGGUCUGAGAGGAUGAUCCGCCACACUGGGACUGAGACACGGCCCAGACUCCUACGGGAGGCAGCAGUGGGGAAUAUUGGACAAUGGGGGGAACCCUGAUCCAGCCAUGCCGCGUGUGUGAAGAAGGCCUUUUGGUUGUAAAGCACUUUAAGCGAGGAGGAGGCUACCGAGAUUAAUACUCUUGGAUAGUGGUCGUUACUCGCAGAAUAGGCACCGGCUAACUCUGU